RNAcentral lists this ribosomal RNA (297 nucleotides) under Triticum aestivum (bread wheat). RNAcentral describes it as "partial small subunit ribosomal RNA". It matches the Rfam family "Eukaryotic large subunit ribosomal RNA", at positions 1890 to 2184 of the family's 3401-position model. Lineage: Eukaryota; Viridiplantae; Streptophyta; Magnoliopsida; Poales; Poaceae. The record is from RNAcentral.
AUGGAACAAUGUAGGCAAGGGAAGUCGGCAAAACGGAUCCGUAACUUCGGGAAAAGGAUUGGCUCUGACGACUGGGCUCGGGGGUCCCGGCCCCGAACCCGUCGGCUGUCGGCGGAUUGCUCGAGCUGCUCACGCGGCGAGAGCGGGUCGCCGCGUGCCGGCCGGGGGACGGACCGGGAAUCGCCCCUUCGGGGGCUUUCCCCGAGCAUGAAACAGUCGACUCAGAACUGGUACGGACAAGGGGAAUCCGACUGUUUAAUUAAAACAAAGCAUUGCGAUGGUCCUCGCGGAUGCUGA